This 61-nucleotide transfer RNA is filed under the name Haemaphysalis qinghaiensis. Its description in RNAcentral is "tRNA-Phe". Lineage: Eukaryota; Metazoa; Arthropoda; Arachnida; Ixodida; Ixodidae. The record is from RNAcentral.
AUCUUUAUAGUUUAUAAAUAAAAUAUUACAUUGAAAAUGUAAAGAAAUUUAAUUAAAGAUA